RNAcentral lists this long non-coding RNA (2252 nucleotides) under Solanum tuberosum (potato). RNAcentral's name for it is "long non-coding RNA (STUB_LNC008281)". Lineage: Eukaryota; Viridiplantae; Streptophyta; Magnoliopsida; Solanales; Solanaceae. The record is from RNAcentral.
UUUGGGUGCUUACCCCUAGUUUAAGGUGGCAGCUUGGACAUAGGGAUGUUAAACUAGCAUAUGGCAAUAUCCAGCUACAUUAUGAUGGUGUUUCCCUCAAUCAUGUUUGUCAUCCAAUUUGGGUCACACCAAAUCCUUUGUGAGUGAGUCUUUUUUCUAUAUUUACUCUUUUGUUAUUCUAUAUGUUCUUGUUUUACCCCGAAAGUCGACUAAAUUUCUUAAAAGAGUAUUUACAAUCUCAUUUACCUUUAGACUUGGCUGAUGCAUCUUCAAGGUAUGUUGUGUUGGAAUGCACUGCUGCCUUCUAAUCUUCACUACAUCCUUAGUGAAUAAAAAAAAGAAACAAAUGGUUGAAGGAUUUAUAAAAUUAAAAUGUUUAAUAGAUUUGUAAAUUAAUUUUCUUUUUGAAAGUAAUGGAACUUUAUGAUGUCUCAUUGGAUUACUUGUUUCGUGCAAGAACUAGGUUUGAGUUAGUGCACUAACUAGGUUGUUUUUUCUCGCCUAAUGGCUCUAUCUCUGGAAGCCUCUUAGGAGGUUCCAAAUUUCACUGAUGAUGUUAAUAUUAGGAAGAGAUGCGACGAAUAUACUGAUAGAGAAACAAUUAAAUGCAAAAAGUAGAUUGUUUACUGUUGUUCUGGACCCUCAAUGUUGUGUGACCUGAGACUAAAUUGUUUGGUUCUUUUCUGCUUUUCUAUUUAGUGCCAACAAUAAAUGUUGUGUUGAUAAAGAAAUCACCCUAUUUCAAGUGAUGUUAUCCAUAUUUGUAUAGUGAUAUGGUUUUAUCAUUAUUAUUUCUUUCUUGUAAUUUCUCUGCUAUAUUAACCCUCUACACAUGGACUAUCUUACCUUAUCAGAUUGAUUAAGUCACAGUCAUUAGAAAAUAGCAAGCCAACAAAUAUUUAUAUAGAUGUACUUGUAUAAAGUUUUUGGCUGUUUGCUUGUAUCUUGUCAACAAUUUGCAUGUUUAACUCCCCGAUGACUAUGAGAAGUUUGUACACUAGAAUUUCUAAUCUUUAGUUUGAGUAAAUCCAUGGAAUCUGAAACCUUAGAGUUCAAAAUAACACUCUUCAGAGUAGGAUAUGAGGAAGAUAUUGCUCUUUAACUGUUAUGUCUCCUUUAUUAUCGCUUUUGGCCGUUUAUUUAGCGUCACACUUUUUUGACAGGCAUCCGCAUGAUCCAUCAAAUCCAGUUAAAUCUGGUGAUGUUCAUAAGAUUAUUGAGAAUCUUUCCUAGAAGCAGAGGCUUAUGACUCAAGUUAUUUUGGAUGUUAAAAAUGUAGCAUAAUUUGCACCUACACAUCUAGUAGUGUAAGUUAGUUUUGUUGUUCAACGCUAAAUCAUAUUGUAUUUUAACUGCUCUAUGUACAUGGGGAAUUCUUACUGUUUUCUCAACUACUAUCUAACUUAAGCUUAUCAUAUUAUGUUAGAUAUUGUGAAACAAUGUGAUCAUGUUAGUAAAGCUAAAAAAACUCCUUUGAGUUAUCAAAAGUAUCUGUUGGAUCAAAAUUUAUCGUUCCUCUUUACAAUUACAAGAUCAUGUUCUAGCUUUGAGAAAGGGGGCUUCUUGUAGUAACUUGUAUCGCUAAUGGACAUUGUUUAAGGUAGUGAUAAUGAAGGAAGCAAAUCUGGAGCAAUAUUCAAAAAAUAGUUUGAGACUAAGACGUAGUUUGUGUUGUAUUACCAAAUGAAUAAUGCUAAACACGUGCUUCAUAAACAAGUCAUACCUACAAGUAAUCUUCAUGCAAUUAAUAUGAAGGGGGUAGGAAAAGGCAAAAGAAACUAUGAAUUUUUCUUAGUGGAAAUAUAUCAAGAUACUACUACAAUCAAUACAUUAAGUUUUGUGAUUGUUUCAAUUUCUUGUUGUUUAUCUUUUCAUAUGUAAAAUAUGUGAUUAAUGAAUAAAGAUAAAAGGGCUCUCUAUAGUUAACACAUUUUUGUUGUCAAUCAUAACUUACGAAAAUUUUCAUUUUUUGAGUUAAUAUUGUGUCAUCAGAAAAUCACAAACUAAUGGGUCAUUUGGGUGCUCAUUAGAAUGUGGAACUAUUCAUAUAUCAAAAUUAACAUAAUUAGUACUAUGUUUGGUAGCGUUACAAUUGCUAAAGAUUCCACAUACCAAGUACGGUGUUUAGUUACAUGUUUGCAAUCCCACAUUACUAAUUUGGAAAAACAGUUGUGUGUUUGCCAAAUUUAUUUGAAUGAAUUAAUCUUUACAAGGAUAAAUUUCUAACUCUAUGACUUAAAAAGUUAAAGGGG